GUCAAGAUAGUAUAAAGAAUACAUAGGAUUUAGGUUCCUAAGAUGGAAUUUAAUAUUCCUCAUGAUA
This 67-nucleotide transfer RNA is filed under the name Upogebia yokoyai. RNAcentral's name for it is "tRNA-Leu". It matches the Rfam family "tRNA". From Rfam's summary of the family: Transfer RNA (tRNA) molecules are approximately 80 nucleotides in length. Their secondary structure includes four short double-helical elements and three loops (D, anti-codon, and T loops). The record is from RNAcentral. Lineage: Eukaryota; Metazoa; Arthropoda; Malacostraca; Decapoda; Upogebiidae.